This is a long non-coding RNA of Mirounga angustirostris (Northern elephant seal), 625 nucleotides long. RefSeq lists it as uncharacterized. NCBI's taxonomy places the organism in Eukaryota, Metazoa, Chordata, Mammalia, Carnivora, Phocidae. The transcript is spliced from 3 exons. The record is from RefSeq and is a predicted model, not a curated record.
UUGGCUUCGUGUCCUUGUGACCAUGAAGACGAAGCAAAGAUGCAGCAGCGCCACCCAGUGGCCAACUCAUCCCACGGCUCCUGGGAAAUAAACAGGAUCCAAACAUUCACCGCCUCCCUCCCGGCCGCGAGUUGCACACUCACGCGCGAAAGAACGGAGAACUCAACUUCUCAACUUCCGCAGCAUUGAAUCUAUCAUAGAAGGUGAGAGAAUCCCAAGCAGACUCCCCGCUGAGCAUGGAGCCCACAUGGAGCCUGAUCUCAGGACCCUGAGAUCAUGAUCCCGAGAUCGCGACCUGAGCCAAAAUCAACUGACUGAGGCACCCAGGCGCCCUGAAAGAGAGAGAGAGAAUCUUAAGCAGGCUCCAUGCCCAACACCGACCCUGAGGGGCUCAGUCUCACAACCCUGAGAUCAUGACCUGAGCAGAAAUCAAGAGUUGGAUGCUUAACUGACCCAGCCACCCAGGUGCCCCAAAGAGUAAUCAUGUUUUAAAAAUGGAAUCAAUUGAUAUUAAAGAUUUAGCAAUAAACUUUCUGAGCUUGUAAAAGAUUUAACUUGAUGUAAAAUGAAUACUUGAUCAUUUUCCUAGUGUAUAAAUUCUGAUUUCUGACAGUUGAAUUUCCUA